AAAUUUCUCUCGUUGCGUAUUCUAGAUUCUGAGAUCACAUUGAGAGUCGGCGUCCCAUCAAGAACUUAUUUGCUCGUGGCUGGUUGCAAGCUUUGUUCUCCCCGGUAACGCAAUGAGAGCCAAGUGGCGGAAGAAGCGUAUGCGGAGGCUGAAGCGGAAGCGCAGGAAGAUGAGGGCGAGGUCCAAGUAAACCUGGUGCUCGUGAGUGGAUGCAACUCUUCAUUCGUAAUAAAUGAAUAAAUAAGAA
Molecule: long non-coding RNA, 247 nt
Organism: Hyalella azteca
Lineage: Eukaryota; Metazoa; Arthropoda; Malacostraca; Amphipoda; Hyalellidae
Exons: 4
Source: RefSeq, a predicted model, not a curated record